GUGGGGAAUUUUGGACAAUGGGCGCAAGCCUGAUCCAGCAAUGCCGCGUGCAGGAAGAAGGCCUUCGGGUUGUAAACUGCUUUUGUCAGGGAAGAAAUCUUCUGGGCUAAUACCCCGGGAGGAUGACGGUACCUGAAGAAUAAGCACCGGCUAACUACGUGCCAGCAGCCGCGGUAAUACGUAGGGUGCGAGCGUUAAUCGGAAUUACUGGGCGUAAAGCGUGCGCAGGCGGCUUUGCAAGACAGAUGUGAAAUCCCCGGGCGCAACCUGGGAACUGCAUUUGUGACUGCAAGGCUAGAGUACGGCAGAGGGGGAUGGAAUUCCGCGUGUAGCAGUGAAAUGCGUAGAUAUGCGGAGGAACACCGAUGGCGAAGGCAAUCCCCUGGGCCUGCACUGACGCUCAUGCACGAAAGCGUGGGGAGCAAACAGGAUUAGAAACCCGUGUAGUCC
This 450-nucleotide ribosomal RNA is filed under the name uncultured bacterium. RNAcentral describes it as "partial 16S ribosomal RNA". It matches the Rfam family "Bacterial small subunit ribosomal RNA", at positions 354 to 796 of the family's 1533-position model. The record is from RNAcentral.